UAUCAUAAAGUCACAAAACCAUGAUAAGUGGAAUUCCAUUGCAGAAGACAUUGAACUGUGCUUAUUUUGAAGAAUAGAGAAAGGAACUGAACUCCACCGAGUAUGCCCUUUAGUGUUUACCACUACCUUAGGGAAUAAACAGUACUCUCAUCCUAUGUACGGUAUAUAGCUGUUGGCUACCUUAGUGGUCAACACAUUAAUUUGCUUGCUGAAGGUCACAUAGCUGGUAAAUUGAAUCAGAAUUUGAACCCAGUUCUUUGUGACUCCAGAGCACUUUCCACAGCUCCACAAUGCCUUCACAGCCCUUGAGUUACUUUUCAAAUUAUAGUAUUACUUUCCUACCUAAGUCCCUCUUUGUAUUUGCAGAGUUGCAUGCUGAGAAUUUGAAAAAUGAAGAUGAUGUAGACACUGGACUAUUAGGAUUCUGGACUCUACUUAUAAUAUCCCUAACUGCUGGAUUCUCCUGUUGCAGCUUUUCUUGGACAGUGACUUACUUUGAUUCUUUUGAACCAGGAAUGUUUCCUCCUACUCCUCUUUCACCUGCCAGGUUCAAGAAACUGACUGGACAUUCUUUCCACAUGGGCUAUAGCAUGGCGAUUUUGAAUGGCAUCGUAGCUGCUCUUACUGUAGCAUGGUGCCUCAUGUAAACCCACACUGGAGCGAUAUUGUUGGCAAAACUUAAUCAUGAUUGUUUUGUAAUAACAAGAAGGAGCAUCACUGUCUACUCAGAAGACUGAGAAACCUGCUGUUCAUUAUGUAGUUCAGAUAUUUAUCACAAUCAUCCUCAUUAUGGAAGACCUUUUAAAGCAUUGUUUUAGAAUGUCUGAGUAUUAAGAUACAGAUUAAUUGGGAAUAUCUGAGUAUUAAGUUUUAAGUACUUUCUUCAGAGUAUAAGAUGUUUACCUCAUCUUUUUACUUUUGUGUGUGUAGUUCUUUCAAGUUGUAGGAAACAUUUUAAUGGAAUUUAAACUCAAAAACUUGAAUACAGGACAAUGCUUGCCUUUUCAUGUAUGUACUACAUUUUUUGCUAAGAAAUACUGAUAUUUCUGUUUAGUUGAGCUAGAAAUACUUCUUAUUUAUACAUUUAGGAAAGCAAAUAAUGCCUACUACUCCGACUUUUAUAGAAGCUACUUUUAAAUCAGAAUAUUUAAUUUUUGAUAUUCAUAUAAUUAAUAGAAGUUGCAUUUAUAUUUUUUAUGGGGCAUAGUUCCUUAUGUGUUUUUUAAUGUAUUUUCAUACUACAUAUUGAAUUUGUAUGUUUUUAAAAUUAUUACAUCUAGACAACUGUAAACAUUAUUUUUUUUAGCUAGUGCAAACCUAGUACCUGCCAUUUUUACUAAUUUUUUUCUUUAAAAAAAGCAAAAAAGCACAUUGACCUAAGUUUAAAAUUAAGUAAGUUUAUUUUUAAC
RNAcentral lists this small RNA (1409 nucleotides) under Pan troglodytes (chimpanzee). RNAcentral's name for it is "processed transcript". The record is from RNAcentral. Lineage: Eukaryota; Metazoa; Chordata; Mammalia; Primates; Hominidae.